ACAGGGUGACAGGUGGUGCAUGGUUGUCGUCAGCUCGUGUCGUGAGAUGUUGGGUUAAGUCCCGCAACGAGCGCAACCCUCGACCUUAGUUGCCAGCAUUCAGUUGGGCACUCUAAGGUGACUGCCGGCUAAAAGUCGGAGGAAGGUGGGGAUGACGUCAAAUCAUCAUGCCCCUUAUGACCUGGGCUACACACGUGCUACAAUGGGCGGUACAAAGGGCUGCGAACCCGCGAGGGGGAGCGAAUCCCAAAAAGCCGCUCUCAGUUCGGAUUGCAGGCUGCAACUCGCCUGCAUGAAGCCGGAAUCGCUAGUAAUCGCGGAUCAGCAUGCCGCGGUGAAUACGUUCCCGGGCCUU
Molecule: ribosomal RNA, 355 nt
Filed under: uncultured Anoxybacillus sp.
Lineage: Bacteria; Bacillati; Bacillota; Bacilli; Caryophanales; Anoxybacillaceae
Description: bacterial SSU rRNA
Rfam family: Bacterial small subunit ribosomal RNA
Source: RNAcentral